UUACUAGACUGGUUGUCUGCCAACCCUUGGUCGUAGAUAACAACACGUCUUGGGUGCUAUGCGAUAUGACUUUCUCGAAGAGGAUUUAAUUUUCAGCUUCGUCUUGACACCGGGAAUGACGUAUGGUCAAAGCCAAGAUUGUCUGCAAGAAAACACAGGGACCGAUUUGACAUUCCGAAAUCUGCUUCCCCACGUAGUCCAGAUCCGCAUUGAAUCGGACCCACUUGUUAAGACCACUUUGGCAACAGAUUCCUGGGAUUUCAUCGGUCGGAAAAUAGGCGGGUUUGUCGGGCUUCUUACCUGCUCAAGAUUUUGGACGAGAAUGACUCUUGACACUCGGAAUCGACGUGGCAAACCAGGUUGUAUGAUUAGUUUCGCGAGAAACCGAGACUCAUGCUCGAAUGGGAGGAUAUUUACGUACAUAUUUCGGAGUCGGCCAACAAUAACUUGAUUUUUAGGCUGUCCUAGCUACAUCGUCUUCCAGAACAGGUGUUAUUUUACAAAUCAAAGCAACUGCCGCAGAAGGAACCACCCAAGGAAACCGAAUUGAAUCGUUUUGAGCUAGCUUGUCAUUUCUAAACCACCGAAAACUUGAAAUCUCGUGUCAAAUACCAUUUCACAACUGUCAAAGUUAGGCAAGAGGUUCUAUGUUCAAAAUGUGUGCGUCAAAAAAUGAAUGGCUUUGAAACACUACCCAUCCAGCCAAGAUGAUCGUUUCAACUGUUUUGGGCAAAACUUCGGGGUUCAAUUGGAUCUGCUUUGUUUUAUCAAAGCGUACCCAUUAACAUAGUCGAACUUCCAAAAGGUCGAUUUUUUUUUCAGGGGGCAUAUCUCAUUACAUCUGUGACAAGUUUCUCAGGAGUACUCGAUGGCAAGCAUGAGGGCCUAAUGAAAGAAAACAUUUUCAAGUGGGAUUAUGAACAAUGUACAGAGCUCGAGAGCAAGCGAGAGAGCACUGACUGAUCUAUCCCAGGUCUCGUGUCCAUCUGGUCACCUCUGGCAGACAGACGCAAAAGCUCAACAACGGGCCUCCAAGGAGCUGCUCGGGGAUGAUGCUUCGAUGGUUUUUCUCUCUUCCUCUCUUUCUUUCUCUCUCACACACUCUCGUGUUCUCUCCGCUUCUUUCUCGUCUCGAGUCGUUUUCAAGUUCGCGGGAUGUCGCGCAGUAAAGGCCGAACUUGGAGCACAAAGGCCAAAUGAAGGGACAGAUUUCGCCUGUGUCGAGCACAAGGUACGUGGAACGUGGAACGUGCGACAAAAAGACAAGACUACAGCCGAGGUUGAGAGAGGCUGGACUCAAUGAAGCUGUGGAAUCCAAGCAUGAGUCUGAACGCAUGUGCUUUUUAAGAGCGGAUGGAUGGACCCAUUGAGGGCCACAAAGAGACUGGAAGUGUCAUCAUCUCAUCACGAAUUGGCCUCCGCAGCCAAUGAACUUGGCCUUGAGGCCAAAAGUAUCAUCUUCCUCAAUCAGGCUAACUACUCUUGGACCACAAUCGUGGUCCAUUGUCCGGGGGAGGGGGAUUCAUGCCAGAUUUGCCAAGAUCCAUCAAAACUCCUUGGGGAACGAGGAUCCCAUCAAGUCUCGUCCAAAGGAAACAUGCUAGAAACCAGAGAGACUCUUUUACAUUCAUAAUUUGUGUUUUGUUUGACUGUGGACAGGCUGGUGGCCUCAAAACAAUUUCUAAAAAAAAAAGAAAAUUUGGCUUGCAAGACUAGGUUGAUUGUACGACUUGGUCGUCUACGUAGUUUUCCUGCAAACGUACUUUGACUCAGGAACAGGAAUAGAUGGCUCUAGUCAGCAAAAGAGUGCGCAAAAACGAAGCGAUUGGAAAGAACGAGUCUCAAAAUGUCAUCCAUCUUCAAAUAUUAGCACAUUAACGAAGAAAGACGAUUCUACAAACUUUUCCACCAUUUCGUAUAAAAUGAACUCGGCAAGGAGGUUCUUUUUUAAGGAUUCGCUGGAUCUCUACUCAUCGCCCAAAAAGGGUACAAACUGCCUUUGUUCCACUCGGCCAAGAUGAAAUUAUCCAUCUAAUAUUAACCAGGGAAAUAGAUUUCCCUAUCUAUCUCCCUUGAUUGAUGCAUCAAAUGAAAUAAACCUGAUUUUUCGCUCUA
Tigriopus californicus is the source of this 2115-nucleotide long non-coding RNA. RefSeq lists it as uncharacterized. The record is from RefSeq and is a predicted model, not a curated record. NCBI's taxonomy places the organism in Eukaryota, Metazoa, Arthropoda, Copepoda, Harpacticoida, Harpacticidae. The transcript is spliced from 2 exons.